RNAcentral lists this ribosomal RNA (468 nucleotides) under uncultured bacterium. RNAcentral's name for it is "partial 16S ribosomal RNA". It matches the Rfam family "Bacterial small subunit ribosomal RNA", at positions 28 to 507 of the family's 1533-position model. The record is from RNAcentral.
GAUGAACGCUGGCGGCGUGCCUAACACAUGCAAGUCGAACGGAAAGGCCCUGCUUUUGUUGGGUGCUCGCGUGGCGAACGGGUGAGUAACACGUGAGUAUCCUGCCCUUGAGUUUCGGAUAACUUCAGGAAACUGCUGCUAUUACCGGAUAGGAGCUCCUGCUGCAUGGUGGGCGUUGGAGAGUUUCGGCGGUGGGGGAUGGACUGCCGGCUUAUCAGCUUGUUGGUGGGGUAGUGGCCUACCAAGGCUUUGACGGCUAGCCGGCCUGAGAGGGUGACCGGCGACAUUGGGACUGAGGUAGGGCGCAGAGUCCUACGGGAGGCAGCAGUGGGAAAUAUUACACAGUGGGCGGGAGCCUGAUGCAGAGACGCCGCGUGCGGAAUGACGGCUUUCGGGUUGUGAACCGCUUUCGCCUGUGACGAAGCGUGAGUGACGGUAAUGGAUAAAGAAGCACCGGCUAACUACGUG